UAUAAGGUCUAACCUGCCCAAUGAGGUUUUAAAUGGCCGCAGUAUUUUGACUGUGCAAAGGUAGCAUAAUUAUUAGUUUUUUAAUUGAAAGCUUGUAUGAAGGGUUGGACGAGAUAAAAUCUGUCUCUAUUUAAAUUAAAUUAGAAUUUAACUUUUAAGUCAAAAGGCUUAAAUAUAACUAAAAGACGAGAAGACCCUAUAGAUCUUUAUUUAGUUAGAAUUUUAAUUAUUUAGGAUUAUUUUAGUUUAAAUUUUUAAUUAAAUUUUAUUGGGGUAAUAUAAAGAUUAAACUAAUUCUUUUUAUUAAUUACAUUAAUUUAUGAAUAUAUGAUCCAGUAUUACUGAUUAUAAGAUUAAGUUACCUUAGGGAUAACAGCGUAAUUUUUUUGGAGAGCUCAUAUCGAUAAAAAAGUUUGCGACCUCGAUGUUGGAUUAAAAAUUAGUUUGGGUGCAGAAGCUCAAAAUUUUGGUCUGUUCGACCAUUAAAUUUUUACAUGAUCUGAGUUCAGACCGGCGUAAGCCAGGUCGGUUUCUAUCUUUAUUUAAUUAAAAUAUUUUAGUACGAAAGGACCAAAUAUUUAAUAUAUAAAUAUUUAUUUUUUGAAUAAUAUUAUUACUUUGGCAGAAUAGUGCAAUGAAUUUAGAAUUCAUGUAUGUAAUUAUAUUACAAGUAAUACUUGUAUUUAGGAGAUUUAUUAUUAAUAAUUAUUUGUAUAUUAAUUUUAGUAAUUUGUGUAUUAGUAGGUGUGGCCUUCCUGACUUUGCUGGAACGUAAGGUUUUAGGAUAUAUUCAGAUUCGU
Molecule: ribosomal RNA, 800 nt
Filed under: Lophyra striatifrons
Lineage: Eukaryota; Metazoa; Arthropoda; Insecta; Coleoptera; Carabidae
Description: partial 16S ribosomal RNA
Rfam family: Bacterial large subunit ribosomal RNA (bases 1-563)
Source: RNAcentral